RNAcentral lists this long non-coding RNA (431 nucleotides) under Pongo abelii (Sumatran orangutan). Its description in RNAcentral is "lincRNA". The record is from RNAcentral. Lineage: Eukaryota; Metazoa; Chordata; Mammalia; Primates; Hominidae.
AAAAACCUCAGACAGAAAAAAAGAAAUGAAAGCCAGUCUGAAGAAACGGUUACAUUAUUUUCUACAACGGCAAUUUCAGAAGUUGUUUUUCUUUGUGCAGAGAUAUGGAUAUGAGAGGCAUUCUUCCACAGAAGAAGCUUAACCACUUUGGUCCUUGAGAUCUUUGCUUGAUCAAAACUUCUACAAGAGUGCUGGCAUGCUGGAGUCAGCUAGAAUUGGAUUGCCAGAGCCUGUUGUGUGCACCUGUGCCCAACUCUGUCCAGCGACCUCAGCCUCCUUUCACAGAGGCUGAAUUUCAAUCAGCUGCUACCAGUUGACAAUGAUAAAAUUAUCUCUAUAUGGGCAAAUGCGUGCUCUUUAUUGAAAAAGAAAGCUUCAGCUUCAUGUUCCAGGUGAGUUAAUUACGCAAUGUAUGAAUGCUAAUAUCUCUU